CUAACUAAUUUUUUUAUAUCAAUGUAAAAUUAAAAAUCAUGACUUGUUGCAAUGAGCAUAAAAAAAUACUAUCCAAAUAGAAUAACACAGAUGUUGAUGAUCAACAUAAGAGAGAAUUUACAAAAUAAUUUGAAGACUAUGUAAGUUUCACUAGUAUUAUAUUAUAUUUUAAUAAUUAUAAAAUUAAUUAUUUAAAUCAAUAUAAUUUUUUAUGUUAUGUUGUAAAUGAAAUCUAAGCAUUUCAAUAAAGAAAAGGGUACAACCGAUGAGUUGUAUUAUUUAGCAUGUGAUCCC
RNAcentral lists this long non-coding RNA (294 nucleotides) under Elaeis guineensis (African oil palm). RNAcentral describes it as "long non-coding RNA (EGUI_LNC010941)". Lineage: Eukaryota; Viridiplantae; Streptophyta; Magnoliopsida; Arecales; Arecaceae. The record is from RNAcentral.